Long non-coding RNA from Mirounga angustirostris (Northern elephant seal), 716 nucleotides. RefSeq lists it as uncharacterized. Lineage: Eukaryota; Metazoa; Chordata; Mammalia; Carnivora; Phocidae. The transcript has 3 exons. The record is from RefSeq and is a predicted model, not a curated record.
GAAGAAAGACGGCUUAGGAUUGAGAAGAAAGUCAGAGCCUUGGUGUCAGGCUGACCACUCUUUAAAUACUGGUUCUUCCACUUAUGAACACUCCCUGGCUCUGCUUUCCCAUCUCUAAAAUGAUCACCGCUGGUCCCUGCUGUGUGCUUAUUCCAUGGUCUGCUCUGGGAUGGAGAUGGCGGAGGACACAGAAGAUGGAGAAAAUGUGCCUGUGGCUACAAAGGUAAAGAUGCACUGAAAAACUGGCCAUCUGCAAACCAGGAAGAGAGCUCUCAUCAGACAUCAAAUCUGCUUGCAUUCUGACCUUGGACUUCGUAGCCUCCAGAACUGUGUGGAGGAAUGUUUAUUGCUUAAGCUCCUCAGUCAAUGGUAUUGUGAUAGCAGCCUGACCUGACGGAGACACUACAGUUAAGUAUAGCUCUGGAAACCACACAAGUUGUGAUGGGCUAAAAGGUGCCACAGUCAAACUGCCCUGGAAGCAAAGUUGAAGGGAAAUUAUUUCAAUUGUGGGACUCUAGGAAAAUUUCCUAGAGAAGGUGAUAAUAGAAGGUGAUCAUGACUUUAAAAUUCCAAAGAAGGUAUACAUAAAAGAGCAUAAAUGCGGAUUAAGAAGGAUGGAGACAGAGGCAGUGUUCCAUGUUCCCUAUCCCCGAAAAGGGGUCAAGGGGGAUGUCAGAGUUGGUGGUUAGUAGGAUUCAGAGGGAAAUGAGGCUAGA